RNAcentral lists this unclassified non-coding RNA (332 nucleotides) under Hevea brasiliensis (rubber tree). Lineage: Eukaryota; Viridiplantae; Streptophyta; Magnoliopsida; Malpighiales; Euphorbiaceae. The record is from RNAcentral.
GAGGCAUCUCAAGAAUUGAAAGGGGUAUUUUGGUCUUCUCUUGUUGAAAUAAUGGCAAAUUUACUUUAAAAUGGAUGAACUUAUUUGUUGACAAAACCAAUAAUUAGGGGUUAAAUAAACUAUUUCUGAAAAACUAGAGAUGCAAGUGUUAGCUAUGGCAUAACUCAAGGACCGAAGAAUAAAUUUUCCUUAUUAGAAAAGCUCCAUUGUUCUUUUUGAGAUAAUUAAUGCUGUUAUGAAUCAUUUCAUUCCGUUUAACCCCUAGAGAAUUUGGGAUUCUAUUUGAAUGGCAUAAAACUUGUAGAAAUCAGAGAAUUUGAAAAUUUUUCUUU